Molecule: non-coding RNA, 3636 nt
Organism: Tetranychus urticae (two-spotted spider mite)
Lineage: Eukaryota; Metazoa; Arthropoda; Arachnida; Trombidiformes; Tetranychidae
Source: RefSeq, a predicted model, not a curated record
AGAUGUCAGAAAGCGAUAGAAUCGAUAAUCGAAAAAAUGAAACGGUUAAAAUUGCAUAAUUCGUGAGAUUAGCCUCAUUGUUAUUUUCAGCGUAUUUUUGUUGCUUAACAGCUUUUUUGAUUGAAUGACUUGAAUCUUCUGUGUGAAUCAUCAAUUAAUGAAUUUUUAAAUUAAACGGUUUUUUUGUUUGUGUAAUUAAAAUCAAAUUUUUUCUUCAAUCAGAAUGUUAAUAUAAGAAUUUUGUUGUCGUUUUGGUUGUGAUCAUUUAUGACUGUUUCAGAAGUUUGGUAAUUAGAUUGGUAAUUUAGGCAACAAUUGGUGGUGCUUGGUAACCGAAAGAAUUCUCAUGGAAAAUGGUGGAAAUAAAUUCUCAAUCAAUGAGAUAUUUAUCAAAAUGUUUUCCAACUUACAAACAAUGCUCGGACAAACCUGUACCUACAAAUUCAUUUAAAAUAUUCAUGAAUGCACCAUCAUCAAUCAUAAGGACGCUUAAUUAAUUCAAGGCAUGAUACACUGAAGUUUCGACACAUUUGCGACAGUAAAGGAUAUACACACAAACACAUUGUUGGAAUCAAUCGCAAAAAAAGGAGCAAAAAUUUUGAUUCGAUAACCUUGACUGAAACUUAUUACUUGAAACAAUCAUAUUGUCCAAACUACUGGAUAUAAUUAAUGAACCUUUAAAGUAUUCAUCGUACAUUGGUUCAACUCUUUCCAUAUCAAUGGAAUUUCACACUGAUGGCUGAACAAUCUGUUGAAAGUGAAGCCUACUUUUGUAACAUGGACUCUUUGGUAACAUAAGAUCUAUCAUUAUCAUUCCAAUCAUGAUGGUACAUGAACCUGUUUUCACUUUCACUCAACUUUCUCUUAAUCCUUUUUUUCUACCGAAUCAUGUAUUCAUCAUCCUGUUAUCAUUUCAUCACUAAUUUAACCUUUAUUGGUUGAUAAUUUUGUUCACCUUAUCUUCCCCAUCAUUUUACACUUUCAUUUUACAUUUUCAUUUUGUUAGAUUAUAACCAAUCGAUUAGCUGAACAGUAGUGGAUUCGGAUUUGACAAAAAAUAGUCAUAGCUGAGCAUCGUCUUAAAAAAUGAAUGGAUAACCUUAAAGAUUAAUAUCAGGUUGUUCAACUUUUUUUGGAAAAUUCUAUGCUUUUUAUUUCGAUUCAACCCUCUUCAAUUUAAAAUCAAUUGCACUUGACUUUAAGAUCAAUUUGAUUGCUAAUAUAUCUUUUGAUGGUUAAUUAAAAGAAAUGAUCGCAGCAUUUCUUGGAUAAUGUACUGCCUCAGGAUUCACCAUCUAACUCAUCCAAUUCUCGAGGAAAUAACUCAAUUCUUUUCCAAAAUCAUGGAUUCACCAAUAAUUUGAUGCUCCAUUAGAAUGGAUACAACUUGGAUAAUCGUCGAUCACUUUCUAGUUAAAUGUUUAAUGAGUCACAACUUCAUCUAAGCAACUCAAGGAAUGCUACCUGUUAUCUUGAAUGACCAAUGACUGAUCAAAUUAUCAUUAUAUUGUUGGCGAAAAUUGGCCUUAAAGGGAUUUAGUUUCCAGGAAUAAAGAUGUUAUAAUCAGGAUGAGUUAACUGUUUAUACUGGUAAUGGAGUUGUUAUGAUUGAAGAAAUGCAAAAGAUAUCGGAGUUGAACAAACCGUAGCCGUUAAAAUACAGUUUCACAGUGAAAUAAGAGUUAACUGUAAAACGAGUUAAAGAAAAAGAGAGAGAGAGAGAGAAAAGAAAGAGGGUUCGUAAGAGUUACUGACGAGAAAAUUUGCGAACCUUAACGACCUGUAAUUAAAAUUACCCUCGAUAAUGAUAGAACUAUUACUGAUGUUUUAAAUUGUGACCUGUUAGUAACGUUAGUUUGACAAUAUUUGCACGCAAAGCUUUUUUUUACACUUCUCCAGCUUCAUUACCAUUUAAUUCAUUCACUGGUUCUCAUUGAUAAUGAUAAAUGCUCAUUGGAAUGUCAACUUGACAUGAUAACAACAACAGUAAUAAUGGUAAAAAAACUACAAUAAUAACAUAUUCAUAAUAAUGGUAAUAAUGAUGAAUGAUAAAAUAUGAUUACAUGAUUAUGAUAAUGUCACUAUUGUAUCAAAAAUAUAAUUCAGAAGCGACCAUCAAAAUUGAUUGUAAAACAUAAAUACCUUGAAGUGAAUUGAUAAGCUGAGCUAUGAAAGAAGAAGAUUGGACAAUUUAAUUAAUCGAAUAGUUGGUCGAUUGAUAAUCAUGGUAAAUCAUCAUCAUAAUCAUUGUUUCUCCUUUUCUUUAUAAUUACAAUUGUUACUGUUUCCAGAAGCGUUCAUCUUAUUGAUUUACUGCAAAUUGAAGAGCCUUUCACUUCGUUGAAAAUAUUUGUCAUUAUCAUCUUAUAAUAUUCAUAGAUGAGCUGAUUCAAUUAGAACAAUUAAUUUAUUCAAAUUAUCCUAGCCUUACAACCAAUUAUUAUUAACCAUUGAAGCUGAAUAGCCAAAGGCUUUGGAGAACUGCAAAAUCAAGCAACUCAACAAUCUCAGGUGUUUAAUGGCUUUUAAAUUUGAGGAUUGUGACCAUUACCCAGGAUCUGUAAUUAUCUUGAAAUUUAUCACAGUAUGAUGGUAGUGAUGAUGAAUGUGAUGAAUUAUAUUCUUGGGGAAAUACGUUUUUCCCUGGUUAAACAAGAAUCUAACAAGAAAAUUCCACUUGCAAAAUCAUUUUGGCUUUUGAAACGCUGGAUCCAAUUAUUAUUGCUAUUAUCUUGCAUCAUCUGAUAAUGUGAGCUCAGAUUUUACCCAUUGGCUAAUUAGCAAUUCAUAACAGGAAUAAUUAAUCAGUUUCAUUUGGCACUUUGGCCGUUUCGUGAAUAUUUACCUUCUUCUCAAAGCUGUACUAUUGUGUCAUCUAAUAUACUCAAUUCAAUCUGAAAAUGAUUUAUUUGGUUGGUAUUAUAUCAUUAUGUUGGCAAAAUCGUUGAAGUUGCCGUUAUCAUUCAAGCAUUUUGACCAACUAUUUAUUGAUAAUUAAUUCCAAUACGAAGGGAAAAACAAGAUGGACUUUUACGAUGAUGUAUUAUCGUUAAGUGAGAUGCAAGUGCAACAACAGGGGAAUAUGGCGAAGAAAAACAAUAACAAAAAAAACAACAUCAAGGGCGAGGAAAAUAACAAUAAUGAGGAAAUUACAAGGCCUAAUAAUCUUUUUAUAAUCUAAUUGUAAAUUACCAAAGAAACGGCAAUUAUCUUAUAUGUCUUUAAGAUACAAAUCAAAAUAUUCGUGGUUAUGAUUGCAAUUAAAGAAUCAACGUGUUCAUCAUCAUCAACGCCAACAUCGAGAAUAACACCAACAAUUGAUAAGCCAACAGUUAAUCAUCAACCAUAUAAUCUUGGCAAAUCUGUUAACAACAAAUUGACCGAGAAUCAAAUCAUCUAAUUGAAUAACAAUAUUAGUGGAGUAACAAGAGAUGAUAAAGCCGAGAAUAGAUGAACAUUAAAUCUAUUUAGCUGUUAAAUGAAUGGAAAAUAUUAAGCUGUUGAGCAAAUUUUAACCUGAAUUUGACUUGAAUUGAUGAAUUGAGUAAAAAAGCCAAGAUGGUGAUGGAAGAGGUUUUAGCCUGUUAAUUGUUGUUAAUUUUAUUUAUAUUGCAUUGUCUCUUAUCAUGCAUUUUG